CACCGCGGUUAUACGAGAGGCCCAAGUUGAUAGACAUCGGCGUAAAGAGUGGUUAAGUAACCCCUCCCCACUAAAGCCGAACGCCUCCAAGACUGUAAUACGUGUUCGGAGGUAUGAAGCCCAACUACGAAAGUGGCUUUAAAAAAACUGACCCCACGAAAGCUGAGAAA
Molecule: ribosomal RNA, 170 nt
Filed under: Oedalechilus labiosus (hornlip mullet)
Lineage: Eukaryota; Metazoa; Chordata; Actinopteri; Mugiliformes; Mugilidae
Description: partial 12S rRNA
Source: RNAcentral